AGUCAAUUAAUUUUAUUUAUUGUAAUAAUAAUAAUAAUUUUAAUGCAUUUUAUAUAUAAUAAUUUAAGUCACAUAAAAUAAUUUUAUAAGAAACUUUUCUAAUAAAAUAAAAUAAUUAUCAUUGAAUAAGAGAUAUUUUUUGGAAUAAAAAAAUAUAUAACUACCAAGUUAGCUUAACUGGUUCUGAGAUCAAAGACCUCCCAUGAGAUCUUGUGCUCA
This 219-nucleotide unclassified non-coding RNA is filed under the name Hevea brasiliensis (rubber tree). Lineage: Eukaryota; Viridiplantae; Streptophyta; Magnoliopsida; Malpighiales; Euphorbiaceae. The record is from RNAcentral.